GCCGAGGUAGCCAAGCCCGGUAUGGCGGCGGUCUCGAAAACCGCUGGACUUGUCCUCGGGAGUUCGAAUCUCUCCCUCGGCGCCA
This 85-nucleotide transfer RNA is filed under the name Candidatus Methanomethylophilaceae archaeon. Its description in RNAcentral is "tRNA-Ser". It matches the Rfam family "tRNA". Rfam says of the family: Transfer RNA (tRNA) molecules are approximately 80 nucleotides in length. Their secondary structure includes four short double-helical elements and three loops (D, anti-codon, and T loops). Lineage: Archaea; Methanobacteriati; Thermoplasmatota; Thermoplasmata; Methanomassiliicoccales; Methanomethylophilaceae. The record is from RNAcentral.